Mauremys reevesii (Reeves's turtle) is the source of this 691-nucleotide long non-coding RNA. RefSeq lists it as uncharacterized. Lineage: Eukaryota; Metazoa; Chordata; Testudines; Geoemydidae. The transcript is spliced from 2 exons. The record is from RefSeq and is a predicted model, not a curated record.
GUGAGGAACUGGGAACAAGGAGUGUGCAAGAAGCUCAGAGGCUGGCUCCAGCUUUUUUGCCGCCCCAAGCGGUGUGUGUGUGGGGAACCAAACCCGAUUGAGCUGCCGCUGAAGUGCCGCCGAAGAGGAAGAUAGGGAGUGAAGGACACACUGCCGAAUUGCCGUGGAAUACUGAAGCGGACCGAUUGAGCUGCCGAUGAAAUGCCGCCGCUGCUGACCUGGACAUGCUGCCCCAACAAUGCAUGGACUGCCGCCCCUUUCUAUUGGCCGUCCCAGGCACCUGCUUCCUUCGCUGGUGCCUGGAGCCGGCCCUGACUGUGAAUUAGGGUUCAGGUCCUCAAAGUUAUUUAGAUGCCUAAAUUGCCUUGAGGGUCUGGGCCUAUAUAUUUCCAGAAGCCUUGCCAAACUCAGAGUGAGCUGUUAAUAAAAGUGCUGUGAUUCUCUCCUAACUAAACAUUGCACUUUACAGACCAGUAAAAAGAAAAUGGGCCAGAACUUAAUCUCAUUUACAAUAGCUUAAAUCCAGAGUCAGUUCAUGAAUGUAAACAAGGUGACUCUGGAUUUAAACUGGUGUAACUGAGAUCAGAAUUGGUCUACAUGUCCCUGUCCCAAGGGGCAUACAGUCUAGGUAAUAGACAACGUGCAGUUGAAGGAUGAAGAAUGGGAUUGAAUAAAGCAGAUUAUUGAGCAA